AUAGGGGAGCCGGAGGGAAACCGAGUCUUAACCGGGCGUUAAGUUGCAGGGUAUAGACCCGAAACCCGGUGAUCUAGCCAUGGGCAGGUUGAAGGUUGGGUAACACUAACUGGAGGACCGAACCGACUAAUGUUGAAAAAUUAGCGGAUGACCUGUGGCUGGGGGUGAAAGGCCAAUCAAACCGGGAGAUAGCUGGUUCUCCCCGAAAGCUAUUUAGGUAGCGCCUCGUGAAUUCAUCUCCGGGGGUAGAGCACUGUUUCGGCUAGGGGGCCAUCCCGGCUUACCAACCCGAUGCAAACUGCGAAUACCGGAGAAUGUUAUCACGGGAGACACACGGCGGGUGCUAACGUCCGUCGUGAAGAGGGAAACAACCCAGACCGCCAGCUAAGGUCCCAAAGUCAUGGUUAAGUGGGAAACGAUGUGGGAAGGCCCAGACAGCCAGGAUGUUGGCUUAGAAGCAGCCAUCAUUUAAAGAAAGCGUAAUAGCUCACUGGUCGAGUCGGCCUGCGCGGAAGAUGUAACGGGGCUAAACCAUGCACCGAAGCUGCGGCAGCGACACUGUGUGUUGUUGGGUAGGGGAGCGUUCUGUAAGCCUGUGAAGGUGUGUCGUGAGGCAUGCUGGAGGUAUCAGAAGUGCGAAUGCUGACAUAAGUAACGAUAAAGCGGGUGAAAAGCCCGCUCGCCGGAAGACCAAGGGUUCCUGUCCAACGUUAAUCGGGGCAGGGUGAGUCGACCCCUAAGGCGAGGCCGAAAGGCGUAGUCGAUGGGAAACGGGUUAAUAUUCCCGUACUUGGUGUUACUGCGAAGGGGGGACGGAGAAGGCUAUGUUGGCCGGGCGACGGUUGUCCCGGUUUAAGCGUGUAGGUGUGUGUUCCAGGUAAAUCCGGUUCACUUUAACACUGAGGCGUGACGACGAGGCACUACGGUGCUGAAGCAACAAAUGCCCUGCUUCCAGGAAAAGCCUCUAAGCAUCAGGUAACAUCAAAUCGUACCCCAAACCGACACAGGUGGUCAGGUAGAGAAUACCAAGGCGCUUGAGAGAACUCGGGUGAAGGAACUAGGCAAAAUGGUGCCGUAACUUCGGGAGAAGGCACGCUGACACGUAGGUGAAGUGAUUUACUCAUGGAGCUGAAGUCAGUCGAAGAUACCAGCUGGCUGCAACUGUUUAUUAAAAACACAGCACUGUGCAAACACGAAAGUGGACGUAUACGGUGUGACGCCUGCCCGGUGCCGGAAGGUUAAUUGAUGGGGUCAGCGCAAGCGAAGCUCCUGAUCGAAGCCCCGGUAAACGGCGGCCGUAACUAUAACGGUCCUAAGGUAGCGAAAUUCCUUGUCGGGUAAGUUCCGACCUGCACGAAUGGCGUAAUGAUGGCCAGGCUGUCUCCACCCGAGACUCAGUGAAAUUGAACUCGCUGUGAAGAUGCAGUGUACCCGCGGCAAGACGGAAAGACCCCGUGAACCUUUACUAUAGCUUGACACUGAACAUUGAGCCUUGAUGUGUAGGAUAGGUGGGAGGCUUUGAAGUGUGGACGCCAGUCUGCAUGGAGCCGACCUUGAAAUACCACCCUUUAAUGUUUGAUGUUCUAACGUGGACCCGUUACCCGGGUUGCGGACAGUGUCUGGUGGGUAGUUUGACUGGGGCGGUCUCCUCCUAAAGAGUAACGGAGGAGCACGAAGGUUGGCUAAUCCUGGUCGGACAUCAGGAGGUUAGUGCAAUGGCAUAAGCCAGCUUGACUGCGAGCGUGACGGCGCGAGCAGGUGCGAAAGCAGGUCAUAGUGAUCCGGUGGUUCUGAAUGGAAGGGCCAUCGCUCAACGGAUAAAAGGUACUCCGGGGAUAACAGGCUGAUACCGCCCAAGAGUUCAUAUCGACGGCGGUGUUUGGCACCUCGAUGUCGGCUCAUCACAUCCUGGGGCUGAAGUAGGUCCCAAGGGUAUGGCUGUUCGCCAUUUAAAGUGGUACGCGAGCUGGGUUUAGAACGUCGUGAGACAGUUCGGUCCCUAUCUGCCGUGGGCGCUGGAGAACUGAGGGGGGCUGCUCCUAGUACGAGAGGACCGGAGUGGACGCAUCACUGGUGUUCGGGUUGUCAUGCCAAUGGCACUGCCCGGUAGCUAAAUGCGGAAGAGAUAAGUGCUGAAAGCAUCUAAGCACGAAACUUGCCCCGAG
Molecule: ribosomal RNA, 2165 nt
Filed under: Salmonella enterica subsp. enterica serovar Enteritidis
Lineage: Bacteria; Pseudomonadati; Pseudomonadota; Gammaproteobacteria; Enterobacterales; Enterobacteriaceae
Description: partial 23S ribosomal RNA
Rfam family: Bacterial large subunit ribosomal RNA
Source: RNAcentral